AGUAAACGCUGGCGGUAGGCCUAACACAUGCAAGUCGAACGGCAGCACAGUAAGAGCUUGCUCUUACGGGUGGCGAGUGGCGGACGGGUGAGGAAUACAUCGGAAUCUACUUUUUCGUGGGGGAUAACGUAGGGAAACUUACGCUAAUACCGCAUACGACCUACGGGUGAAAGCAGGGGAUCUUCGGACCUUGCGCGAUUGAAUGAGCCGAUGUCGGAUUAGCUAGUUGGCGGGGUAAAGGCCCACCAAGGCGACGAUCCGUAGCUGGUCUGAGAGGAUGAUCAGCCACACUGGAACUGAGACACGGUCCAGACUCCUACGGGAGGCAGCAGUGGGGAAUAGUGGACAAUGGGCGCAAGCCUGAUCCAGCCAUACCGCGUGGGUGAAGAAGGCCUUCGGGUUGUAAAGCCCUUUUGUUGGGAAAGAAAAGCAGCAGGUUAAUACCCCGCUGUUCUGACGGUACCCAAAGAAUAAGCACCGGCUAACUUCG
RNAcentral lists this ribosomal RNA (490 nucleotides) under uncultured bacterium. Its description in RNAcentral is "partial 16S ribosomal RNA". It matches the Rfam family "Bacterial small subunit ribosomal RNA", at positions 29 to 505 of the family's 1533-position model. The record is from RNAcentral.